Molecule: ribosomal RNA, 253 nt
Filed under: uncultured bacterium
Lineage: Bacteria
Description: partial 16S ribosomal RNA
Rfam family: Bacterial small subunit ribosomal RNA
Source: RNAcentral
UACGAAGGGUGCAAGCGUUAAUCGGAAUUACUGGGCGUAAAGCGCGCGUAGGUGGUUCAGUAAGUUGGAAGUGAAAUCCCCGGGCUCAACCUGGGAACUGCUUUCAAAACUGCUGAGCUAGAGUACGGUAGAGGGUGGUGGAAUUUCCUGUGUAGCGGUGAAAUGCGUAGAUAUAGGAAGGAACACCAGUGGCGAAGGCGACCACCUGGACUGAUACUGACACUGAGGUGCGAAAGCGUAGGGAGCAAACAGG